AUGCUUUCCAGCUCUUACUGGAGGGCUGGUGUGCUGAACUCAGGGUUUAACUGUUUGUUUUUUCAUGCACUCCUGGAAGAGCUGCCCUGCACCCCACCCCACCUCAGACCCAAAGCCGUGCCUGGACAGGGAGGACAGCAGGGCCCCUGGAACCCCCCUCCCAAUAGGUGUUGCUCCAGCCUUGCUCUGAGCAAAACUAAAGUGGCUGUGGCUGGCUGUGGUCACUUCCUCACUUGCUGGUCGGGUGACCGCUCCCUGCCUUACUCCCCUAUCUUGAAUCGCAGUCCUGCACCACGGGUUGGCUUGGGUCUGAGAUGUCACUGCUGGCGAUCCAGGUGCUGUGAGGGAGGAGGAGGAGGAGCCUGGCCAGGACCAGGCCCUGCAGAAAGCAGCUCGUUUCCCCCAGAGGUGUUGAGUCCUGAUCGCAGUUGAAAGUGUUCCUUCCCAUCUGAAAGGCAGUUGGGCAUCUGGGAACCACCAGGUUUCUUCCCCCCGCCUCUCCCACCCAUGGACGAUGGAGUCUCACUGUCGCCCAGGCUGGAGUGCAGUGGCGCGAUCUCGGCUCACUGCAACGUCUGCUUCCUGGGUUCAAGCCAUGCUCCUCCCUCAGCCUCCCGAGUAGCUGGGAUUACAGGCAUGCACCACCACACUCGCCUAAUUUUUGUAUUUUUGGUAGAGACGGGGUUUCACCAUGUUGGCCUGGCUGGUCUUGAACUCCUGACCUCAUGAUCUGCCUGCCUUGGCCUCCCAAAGUGCUGGGGUUACAGGCGUGAGCCACUGUGCCCAGCCUCCACCAGGGUUCUUUUGGUGUGGGGUCCCUUCCCAGCAGUGAUGAAAUCCCCCCCUCAUUGGCAGGAGAGGCUGUCUUUCCAUCUAACCCCCACCCCCUCCCUGUAAGCACACAAGUGAGGCCAGUACUAAACAGAUGCUUGUGAGCCACUGGGAAGCCCCUGUUCCCCCCAUGCCCUGGCCAGAGCCAGCUCUCCUUGCAACAGAGAUGGUGCUUGUCAUCCUGACUGGACCAUCCUUGGGUGCUGCUGCCUAGCCAGCAUUUUUCUUUUUCUUUCUUUUUUUUUUUUUUAGAGACAGGGUCUCUCUGUCAUCCACGCUGGAGUGUGGUGGUAUGAUCAUGGUUCACUGCAACCUCUGCCUCCUGGGCUCAGUUAAACCUCCCACCUUAGCCUCCAGCGUAGUAGCUGGGACCACAGGCACACACCACCGUGCCUGGUUAAUUUUUGUAUUUUUUGUAUUGACCCAGGGGUUUCACCAUGUUGGCCAGGCUGGUCUCAAACUUCUGGGCUCAAGUGAUCCACCUGCCUCGGCCUCCCAAAGUGCUGGGAUUACAGGCAUGAGCCACCAUGCCCAGCCCUGGCCAGUGUUUUUAAGGGAUGUGACUUAUCUUGGAGCUUUCCCAGGCAGGUUCCUAGGUUCCAGGCUGUGUGGCCUGACAUGAUGUCCCUGGGGAUCAGUGCAAGGUAAGAGUGCAGGCUGCAUGGGGUCCAGAGUUCUGGGACAGGGGUGGGGGUCGGGGGGUGCCUCCCUCGUGCCCACCGUUCCACCCCACCCUGCCCUACCCUCAUGUGCCUCCAGAGCUCCAUUUCCCGAGGUCUGGAAUAAAGCCUCUGGAUCUUGAGUUCUUUGUCAGAGGGUGGAUAUCCCUGAGAAACCAGGCUAAGUCCGUCAGAGGAGGGAAGUAGGGAAAGUGCCAGAAGGGGACAACCAAAGGGAAAGGUGGAAAAUGGGAGGAUAAAGACUCCUGCAAAGGUAUCAGGAGGAGGGAGCAGAGCCGCCCCACUCAGCUGCAGGCCUGCCCUGCCUCACAUCCUCUGCCAGCCUCCACCCAGGUGGAGCUGCAGGAGUGCAGGCCCCACCCCAACACCUGCUCUCAGGCAGAGGAGGGGCUCGGAGAGCAAGGCUGGACGGGAUCACUGCCCUGACAACUUUCCAGCACAGCUGGGAGAGGGACAUGUGCUCCUGGUCCAUUCUAUACCCCCUCCCUCACCUCCUUGACCGUCAUCCCCCAGCUCCCUGGCCUCUGGUUGGGGUGAGGGAGCGGGAGCCUCUGCGAGAGUUUGGAGGGAGGUGAGGUGCCCUUGGCCAUUGUCUUCAUGACCUUCCAGCCAUCCCCUUAAAUCUGUUCUUCUGAGGGGCCCUUCAAGUGACCCCAGGAAACCAGGAUCGGACAUUGGCAUUGAGGAUUGAGUCCACCCAACUCUCCCAUUCACGAUGGAGAAUGUGAGGCGCAGAGGUGAGUGGUUUGCCCUAAAGCAAGCCCUUUGUUGUUAUGGAGACAGUGGCCAAUGCAUGCUCCACUGGUGUCUCCUGUCUUCCAGCCAGUCCAGCACCCCACACGGCAGGCAGGCAGCAGACACCUCACCCCGCAGGCUUGGAAGCCUCUCCCUGCAGUGCUAGAGCCGUGGUUACAGCUCAGAGAUGCUGGCUGCAGACCUCUUCUUGGCAUGCCAUACUUUCUUGUCUUCUGUCUUGGUCUAAAUAUGACCCCAUCUUUCCCUAGGGCACUGGGUCUUACUCCCUGAUUAAGGGACAAAGAGAAGCCCUCUGUGACCCAUCUAGCCUCAACCUAGCCUUGUGUAGUCUCUGGCCUUUAACCCAGUGAUUAGGGUUGUUGGACAUGCAGGAUCCAUCUGGCUAUCAGCUCGUAUAAGAACCAAGACAGUGUAUCUCCAUUUCUGCCUGUAGUAGAGAAAAUGCAGUGGUUUAGUAGGAGGAGCCUAAGAGAUAGGAAUGGCUGUCUCAUCCCAGAAAAGCCCGUGCCUUCUCUUGGAGUGUGUGUUUCUUUGUGACUCUGUUUCCUUCCCUCACAAGGUUUUGAGUUUUAAUGAUGACACAAUAAUGUGCCUAACACAUGGUAGGUACUCCCUAAAUGUUUCCUAUGCUUAUCUUUUUUUUUUUUUUUUUUUGAGAUGGAGUCUUGCUGUGUCGCCCAGGCUGGAGUACAGUGGUGCAAUCUUGGCUCACUGCAACCUCCGCCUCCCAGGUUCAAGCGAUUCUCCCUGAUUUUUAGUAGAGAUGGGGUUCGCCAUGUUGGCCAGGCUGGUCUCGAACUCCUGGACUCAAGUGAUCCAUCUGCCUCGGCCUUCCAAAGUGCUGGGAUUACAGGUGUGAACCACCAUGCCUGGCCUGCGGUUAUGUUAAAAAGAUAAUAUUUCUUUCAUCCUUAACAAGCACUGAAAUUGAGUUGAUUCCAAUUGACGUACUCCUUGACUGUCUUUUCAAUGGAUCAGUAGUCAUUGAAAGAUUUUUAGGCUGGGCGCGGUGGCUCAAGCCUGUAAUCCCAGCACUUUGGGAGGCCGAGAUGGGCGGAUCACGAGGUCAGGAGAUCGAGACCAUCCUGGCUAACACGGUGAAACCCCGUCUCUACUAAAAAAUACAAAAAACUAGCCGGGCGCGGUGGCGGGCGCCUGUAGUCCCAGCUACUCGGGAGGCUGAGGCAGGAGAAUGGCGUGAACCCGGGAGGCGGAGCUUGCAGUGAGCUGAGAUCCGGCCACUGCACUCCAGCCUGGGCGGCAGAGCGAGACUCCGUCUCAAAAAAAAAAAAAAAAAAAAAAAAAGAAAGAUUUUUAACCCCAUGUUCUACCUGGGAGGGAGGUGAAAGAAGGACAGGGUGGGGCCCAGGAAUCUAGAACACACAUAAAACCCUGGAGCUAGUAGUUUUUGGCACUGACUCUAACUGUAGCUUUUUUUUUUUUUUUUUUUUUUUUGAGACAGUCUUACUCUGUUCCCCAGGCUGGAGUGCAGGGCAUCAUCUCAGCUCACUGCAAUCUCCACCUCAGCCGAGUAUGGUGGCACAUGUCUGUAGUCCCAGCUACUUGGGAGGCGGAGGCAGGAGAAUCACUUGAAACUGGGAGGCAGAGGUUGCAGUGAGCCUGAGUAGCUACAAUUAUAGGUGUGUGCCACCAUGCCCAGCUGAUUUUUGUAUUUUCAGUAGAGACAGGGUUUCGCCAUCUUGGCUGGGCUGGUCUUGAACUCCUAACCUCAAGUGAUCAACCAGCCUCAGCCUCCCAAAGUGCUGGAAUUAUAGGUGGACUUCUAGCCUUUUUAUCAAGCCAUUUAGGGCUUCAGAGUUCUGACAGUAGUUGUAUUCAUAUGCUGCUUCAGAGUUUACGAUACAUACAUUCGCUAUCUCCCAUGAUUGCCAUAAAAAGCCUGCUGACGUACAUAAAAAAGGUGUUUGCCAGGGCGGUGGCUCACGCCUAUAAUACCAGCACUUUGGGAGGCCAAGGUGGGCGGGUCACCUGAGGUCAGGAGUGCACAAUCAACCUGGCCAACAUGGUGAAACCUCCUCUCUACUAAAAAUACAAGAAGUAGCCAGGCGUGGUAGCAUGUGCCGGUAAUUGCAGAUAUUUAGGGAGGUUGAGGCAGGAUAAUCACUUGAACCUGGGAGGCGGAGGUUGCAGUGAGCUGAGACCAUGCCACUGCACUCCAGCCUGGGCAACAGAGCAAGACUCAGUCUCAAAAAAAGGAAAGUUUACUCCACCCUGCCGCCCAGGCUGGAGUGCAGUGACCCGAUCUCAGGCCGCUGUACCCUCAGCCUCCCAAGUAGCUGGGACUACAGGCAUGUACCACCACACCUGGCUAAUUUUUGUAUAUUUUGUGGAGCUGGGGUUUCUCCAUAUUGCCCAAGCUGGUCUUGAAUGAGCUCAAGCAAUCUGUCCUCCUCAACCUACCAAAAUGCUGGGAUUAUAGGUGUGAGCCACCAUGCCUGUCAAUCAUCUACUUUUAUUGCUGUGGAAACUAGAGUAAAAAAGGCUUCACCAUGGCUGGGUAUGUGGCUUACCCCUAUAAUCCCAGCACUUAGGGAGGCCGAGGCGGAGGAUCACCUGACCUGAGGUCAGAGUUCAAGACCAACCUGGCCAACAUGAUGAAACACAAUCUCUACUAAAAAUACAAAAAUUAGCCGGGUGUGGUGCCACUUGUCUGUAGUCCCAGCUACUUGGGAGGCAGGAGAAUCGCUUGAAACUGGGAGGGAGAGGUAGCAGUGAGCCGAGAUCAUGCCACUGCACUCCAGCCUGAGUGAGAGAGAGACUCCUUCUGAAAAAUAGAUAGAUAAAUAAAUAAUAAAAACCAUCAAAUAGUAGCCUGGUUAAGAAAUAGGCCGAAAAUGGCCAGGCAUGGUAGCUCACGCCUGUAAUUGCACCAUUUUGGGAGGUCGAGGCAGGUGGAUCAUGAGGUCAGGAGACCAGCCUGGCCAAGAUGGUGAAACCCC
Molecule: long non-coding RNA, 5227 nt
Filed under: Macaca mulatta (Rhesus monkey)
Lineage: Eukaryota; Metazoa; Chordata; Mammalia; Primates; Cercopithecidae
Description: lncRNA (ENSMMUG00000064262.1)
Source: RNAcentral